This is a long non-coding RNA of Tupaia belangeri chinensis (Chinese tree shrew), 1760 nucleotides long. RefSeq lists it as uncharacterized. NCBI's taxonomy places the organism in Eukaryota, Metazoa, Chordata, Mammalia, Scandentia, Tupaiidae. The record is from RefSeq and is a predicted model, not a curated record. The transcript is spliced from 5 exons.
UAGGUGUGAUGGCGGGAGCCUUACUGAAUUAAUUUAUUUACUCCACACAUAUUUAUUGAGCACUUACAAGUGCUAGGCUGUUCUAAGUACCAGGUACAUGACACUGAGUGAAACAGAUAAGGGCAUGGCCCUCAUGGUGCUCAUUCUGUUUGGAGAAAACGGACAGUAUAUAGUGUGCACACACUGAAGUUUGGGAUGACCCUUCCCUCCUUACUGAAGGGGAACCAGGACAGUCGCUCUCCCACUGAAAGAGAAACAGCCUUCGACUGGAGGCCACUGAAAGACGAUGAGCACGUCAUGAUUGCUGGUUGUAACGAUACAUAGUGACUGAUGGUAAGAAAGGAAAGAAGGACAAGGAGAAGAAGAGGAGAGAAGAAAACAGUUGGGAUUUGUAACUUGGAAGAGGUCCCUCACCAAAACGCAGGCAUGUUGUCUCAGUCAUCUCAGACUGCCUGCCUCUAAGACCAUGAGAAGUAAAAUCCUGUUGUUUAUAAGCAUCCAGUGUGUGGUAUUUUGUUAUAGAACUCAAAUGGACUAACCCAGAGCUACGGUCUCAAUUCUGCUUCUCGGGCUCGUUCAUUUCAUUUCCCUGAAUACUAUUUUCUCAUCUGGUUUGCUCAGGGAGCAGAGCAGAUAUUCCAGUCCUGCGAGUCUGGUACCUUCUCACAGAGGAGCAGAGGAGUGCGUGCUGCUGCACAAUGAACGUCAGUAUUCCUGAUUCCAUAUGUCCCCAGUGGGCACCAGCCAAAUCUCCAAGUCAUUGCUUCCACACCCAUAGGAGGUUGGAUCUUACUCUUCAUUGGAUCUUUGCAUUCCCCCUAAGACAUGCAGCCUGGAUGCUCACUAACAGCACCCAGGAAAGGAAGAGGAUGGCAUCUCUGAGUGUUGACACUAGCCAGGCACUAAUGUGGGGGAAAUUCCCAUCAUCCUCUCAUUUUACAGAUGAAGAAACUAGAGUUCUGAGGAAAGGAGCGGAUUGCCCAAGGUCAUCAGAGCAACUCAGUGUCCAGACUUGUGUCCAGGCUGCUGCGGAAGCCACACGCUCCUCUGUCAUCCACUGCUGCCUUGCGUCCUCUGUCCCACUCUUCACACGGGGACUGUCUGUCAGUGGGUCUUUCUCAGCUCAAUGGACAAAUCAGCAACCUAGACUCUGAAACUGAGUGCCUAAAAAAGGCAGCAUAAGUAAUUUCUAGCUAAGUCUCCUUUGUUUAUCCGACAAGUACUUCUCACAUAAGGAACCAUGUCAUCCCAGCAUGGAUCUCAACAGCUAUGUGGCGUGGAGAAUUUGAAUGUGUCCUGUACCAGAAAGAGGCAUGAGUGCCCUUCUAAGCUUUCAAUCAGCCUGACAUAUGUGAUGAGCUCUCCGUAUCAGCUUGCCCUUCAGCUUCAGGUCUGGAAAAGGUGCUUAGCUAUACCCAUCCAGGUCCUGGAGGCUGAAAGAAAGAGUACCAACCCCUCCCCCUUCACGAGUGUCCUCCUAAUAGUCUCUACAUUUAAUCAGGACAGAGAGCAAGGACUUUAAAGCCAGCCUCUGAAGCUAUCAGGGCAACAUUGAUUAAGAUCAUUUGUAAAAGCUUAAGGCAGAAAAGAAAUUAAGAUUCCAUUUAUUUUAAUGCACUAGAAAAAGAAGCAUUGGGGACAAGUAGAGGACAAUCUGCUUAUUGUCAUGCUAAGAUCACAAGCAUGCAUAUGUAACAGGUCAUCAGGAAUUGAGUUCUGCCUAUUUUUCCUUCUUUUUAAAGAAAUUUUUGACUUAGGGC